CCUAUCAGCUAGUUGGUGGGGUAAUGGCCUACCAAGGCGACGACGGGUAGGGGGUCUGAGAGGAUGAUCCCCCCGAGUGGGACUGAGACACGGCCCACACACCUACGGGUGGCAGCAGUUGGGAAUCUUGCACAAUGGGGGAAACCCUGAUGCAGCGACGCCGCGUGGAGGAUGAAGGAUUUAGGUCUGUAAACUCCUUUUUCAGGGAAAGACUUAGGACGGUACCCUGAGAAUAAGCACCGGCUAACUACGUGCCAGCAGCCGCGGUAAGACGUAGGGUGCAAGCGUUGUCCGGAUUUACUGGGCGUAAAGAGCGCGUAGGCGGUCUGUUAAGUGUGAAGUGAAAUCUCCAGGGCUCAACCCGGAAACUGCUUCGCAUACUGGCAGACUUGAGGGAUGCAGAGGUAAGUGGAAUUCCUGGUGUAGCGGUGACAUGCAUUGAUAUCAGGAGGAACACCCAUGGCGAAGGCAGCUUACUGGGCAUCAUCUGACGCUGAGGCGCGAAAGCGUGGGGAGCAAACAGGAUUAGAUACCCUGGUAGUCC
RNAcentral lists this ribosomal RNA (544 nucleotides) under uncultured bacterium. RNAcentral's name for it is "bacterial SSU rRNA". It matches the Rfam family "Bacterial small subunit ribosomal RNA", at positions 237 to 796 of the family's 1533-position model. The record is from RNAcentral.